This 685-nucleotide long non-coding RNA is filed under the name Mytilus galloprovincialis (Mediterranean mussel). The record is from RNAcentral. Lineage: Eukaryota; Metazoa; Mollusca; Bivalvia; Mytilida; Mytilidae.
AACGAUAUUUUCUUUACAAAGACCAAAAGUGUUUUGGCUGAUAAAGUAACUAAUGCAGAAACUUUAUUUUCGUACUUUGUGGCUGAGCACAACCUUUCCUUUGCAGUAACUGACCAUUUCACAAAAUUGUGUAAAUUAAUGUUCUCUGACAGUGAAAUAGCUUCAGGUUAUUCCUGUGGAAAAACUAAAACACCCAAAAGUAAAGAGGGCCCUUUCAGUUGAAAAUAACAAAGUGGUAGUUGAAAACAAGCCAAGAUUUUUUGUUUUGUCAAAACUUGCUAAAACAUUACUGGUUUUGCCAAACAGCAAUGCAGACAGUGAGAAGGCAUUUUCUUUAGUAAAGAAAAUAGCUACAGAGUUUAGGGCUGAUCUUAAUAAGGAUACACUGUGUGCUCUUCUUUCUUGUAAAAUGAAUACACAUUUGCAUUGCUAUGAACUGAAACCAAGUGCAGUUCUUUUAAAGAAUGCCAAGUCUGCUACUAUGGAAUAUAACAAUAGUCUGAAAUAAACUUGUAUACAUGUUCUAACUGUUUCAUAUACAUAUUGACUAUAUAAAUUAUAUGUAAACAUAUUUUUGUUCUUCAAUUGAGCCCGCAAAAUGUCGUACGCGUUAUGACCUGAGAUUUUUUUUCUCAAUGCAGGUCAUGACCUGACUUUUCAUUUUCAGAGGUUGACAGGUAUGGUA